ACGGCAUGGGUCGGCCGGGCCGGGCACCUCUGCGAAGCGAAACCCUAACCACCAGCGAAGAGACCUUCCCCACGCCGCCACCUCCCGUCUCAACAGUGAUCACUGAUGGGAAAUCCCCUCCUAUACACCCAUGGAAUCUGAGCACCAACAAACAAUCUUUUCUCGGAUUCCUCUGAUCGAAGCAUGAAGAUGCACCGCGCAUGCAAAAUCUGUGGAGAAAUAGGACACACCGAUAAGGAACACCAAGAUGGAUGCCCCUAUUGUGAAGCGAGUCACUUGGGUGAAGAAUGUCCCACUACGCGAGUCACCUGUUUCAUGUGUGAAGGGACUAACCACAAUCCAGCCCAGUGUCGUCUACUCACCACGACACAAGAAGUGGUUCAGCAACAGAGGAAAGGAAUGAAGAAGGCUGUCCAGGAAAUCAUCAUGAAGAGAAGGGCUUUAGUUACUUGCCAUAAGUGUAGGAGCAAGGGGCACUACGCCAGCGUGUGUCCAGAAGUGAUAACAGAGAGAGAAAGAUGGGCGCGCUACUCCAGCCCGUGUCCAGAAAAGAAAAGAGGGAGAGGGAGAUGGGAAGCUUGGAGCAAACAAGCGCCAUGACUUGUCAGGAGUAAUUUGUUUGAUAUUUUCCUUUGUGUAAGAAUUCAUUCAGUAACUAUUCCAAGGGAGCUAAUGUUAGUUAUUGGAGGAUAGCUAUCUGAGGCAAGCAAUAAGGGUAUUAGGAGACCUUUUAGGUUAUCUUGGAGAUGCUGGGUUGAGACGUGCAAUGGCCAUGGACGAGAGACUUUACACUUCCUGUGUUGUGACGACUUUUUAGCGAUGUGAUUGCGAUUUCUUUUGUGA
This is a long non-coding RNA of Triticum dicoccoides, 843 nucleotides long. RefSeq lists it as uncharacterized. Lineage: Eukaryota; Viridiplantae; Streptophyta; Magnoliopsida; Poales; Poaceae. The record is from RefSeq and is a predicted model, not a curated record. The transcript is spliced from 2 exons.